This is a long non-coding RNA of Oxyura jamaicensis (ruddy duck), 771 nucleotides long. RefSeq lists it as uncharacterized. NCBI's taxonomy places the organism in Eukaryota, Metazoa, Chordata, Aves, Anseriformes, Anatidae. The record is from RefSeq and is a predicted model, not a curated record. The transcript has 2 exons.
ACUUCAUCAGAGAACUUUACUUGGGAAGACACAUAACGUUGGAGAAAAUAAAAACGCAUUUCAGCAGGUAGUUGUCCUCUAGACAGCUCGCCCCCCUUCCAGGAAAAAAAAAAAAAAAAUCAUAAAGCAGCUUAAUUAAUCUUAGCUCUCUAGAGCAAUGGUGCUUGAUAUUUGCAGUUUCUCAUAGUACAAAGUUUACUUUUGCUCUUUUUCAUUAAACCUUACACAAACACAGUAAAAAAAAAAUACCUCUGAUCACUGAUUACUGUGCAGCUUCCACUAAGAAUUUUAGGUAGAAAAUCCUACUUGUUUUGUUGUUCUUGUGUUGUGCUUUGGGUUUUGUUUGUUCAAGCAGUAGUGAUUCAAACCCGGCCAGUGGGUGCACGUUGUGAUGAAGUCCAAACUCUGCAACACUUCGUACCCAUCGGUCUGGAUUCUGCAAAACUCCUCUGGGAAGCUGUGAAGAGAAAUGCAAGUGGGAGAGGACUACAGCUCCCGGGAGUGCUGUGAUCUCCUGUCUGCAAGACCUUUUUCAUCCGAUGAAACAAAGCAUGCUGAAUUUGUCCUGCAGCUGUCACGUCAGGUGGAGUCAAGUCUCCUAACCUGGAGGGGGACUGGCAAAGUGGCUGGAGAAAUAAACCUGGAAAUGUUCUAACACCAGAAAUAAACCUGGAUGGUUCUAAAUUCAAGGUUAUCUCCAUUAGUACAGAAGAAGCUGUCAUGCAUAACUGGAGAAAUCCUUUGAAUUGUAACCUCUCAGGUAAGCCUUGA